UUAAGCGACUAAGCGUACACGGUGGAUGCCCUGGCAGUCAGAGGCGAUGAAGGACGUGCUAAUCUGCGAUAAGCGUCGGUGAGGUGAUAUGAACCGUUAUAACCGGCGAUUUCCGAAUGGGGAAACCCAGUGUGUUUCGACACACUAUCAUUAACUGAAUCCAUAGGUUAAUGAGGCGAACCGGGGGAACUGAAACAUCUAAGUACCCCGAGGAAAAGAAAUCAACCGAGAUUCCCCCAGUAGCGGCGAGCGAACGGGGAGCAGCCCAGAGCCUGAAUCAGUGUGUGUGUUAGUGGAAGCGUCUGGAAAGGCGCGCGAUACAGGGUGACAGCCCCGUACACAAAAAUGCACAUGCUGUGAGCUCGAUGAGUAGGGCGGGACACGUGGUAUCCUGUCUGAAUAUGGGGGGACCAUCCUCCAAGGCUAAAUACUCCUGACUGACCGAUAGUGAACCAGUACCGUGAGGGAAAGGCGAAAAGAACCCCGGCGAGGGGAGUGAAAAAGAACCUGAAACCGUGUACGUACAAGCAGUGGGAGCACGCUUAGGCGUGUGACUGCGUACCUUUUGUAUAAUGGGUCAGCGACUUAUAUUCUGUAGCAAGGUUAACCGAAUAGGGGAGCCGAAGGGAAACCGAGUCUUAACUGGGCGUUAAGUUGCAGGGUAUAGACCCGAAACCCGGUGAUCUAGCCAUGGGCAGGUUGAAGGUUGGGUAACACUAACUGGAGGACCGAACCGACUAAUGUUGAAAAAUUAGCGGAUGACUUGUGGCUGGGGGUGAAAGGCCAAUCAAACCGGGAGAUAGCUGGUUCUCCCCGAAAGCUAUUUAGGUAGCGCCUCGUGAAUUCAUCUCCGGGGGUAGAGCACUGUUUCGGCAAGGGGGUCAUCCCGACUUACCAACCCGAUGCAAACUGCGAAUACCGGAGAAUGUUAUCACGGGAGACACACGGCGGGUGCUAACGUCCGUCGUGAAGAGGGAAACAACCCAGACCGCCAGCUAAGGUCCCAAAGUCAUGGUUAAGUGGGAAACGAUGUGGGAAGGCCCAGACAGCCAGGAUGUUGGCUUAGAAGCAGCCAUCAUUUAAAGAAAGCGUAAUAGCUCACUGGUCGAGUCGGCCUGCGCGGAAGAUGUAACGGGGCUAAACCAUGCACCGAAGCUGCGGCAGCGACGCUUAUGCGUUGUUGGGUAGGGGAGCGUUCUGUAAGCCUGUGAAGGUGUACUGUGAGGUAUGCUGGAGGUAUCAGAAGUGCGAAUGCUGACAUAAGUAACGAUAAAGCGGGUGAAAAGCCCGCUCGCCGGAAGACCAAGGGUUCCUGUCCAACGUUAAUCGGGGCAGGGUGAGUCGACCCCUAAGGCGAGGCCGAAAGGCGUAGUCGAUGGGAAACAGGUUAAUAUUCCUGUACUUGGUGUUACUGCGAAGGGGGGACGGAGAAGGCUAUGUUGGCCGGGCGACGGUUGUCCCGGUUUAAGCGUGUAGGCUGGUUUUCCAGGCAAAUCCGGAAAAUCAAGGCUGAGGCGUGAUGACGAGGCACUACGGUGCUGAAGCAACAAAUGCCCUGCUUCCAGGAAAAGCCUCUAAGCAUCAGGUAACAUCAAAUCGUACCCCAAACCGACACAGGUGGUCAGGUAGAGAAUACCAAGGCGCUUGAGAGAACUCGGGUGAAGGAACUAGGCAAAAUGGUGCCGUAACUUCGGGAGAAGGCACGCUGAUACGUAGGUGAAGUCCCUCGCGGAUGGAGCUGAAAUCAGUCGAAGAUACCAGCUGGCUGCAACUGUUUAUUAAAAACACAGCACUGUGCAAACACGAAAGUGGACGUAUACGGUGUGACGCCUGCCCGGUGCCGGAAGGUUAAUUGAUGGGGUCAGCGCAAGCGAAGCUCUUGAUCGAAGCCCCGGUAAACGGCGGCCGUAACUAUAACGGUCCUAAGGUAGCGAAAUUCCUUGUCGGGUAAGUUCCGACCUGCACGAAUGGCGUAAUGAUGGCCAGGCUGUCUCCACCCGAGACUCAGUGAAAUUGAACUCGCUGUGAAGAUGCAGUGUACCCGCGGCAAGACGGAAAGACCCCGUGAACCUUUACUAUAGCUUGACACUGAACAUUGAGCCUUGAUGUGUAGGAUAGGUGGGAGGCUUUGAAGUGUGGACGCCAGUCUGCAUGGAGCCGACCUUGAAAUACCACCCUUUAAUGUUUGAUGUUCUAACGUUGACCCGUGAUCCGGGUUGCGGACAGUGUCUGGUGGGUAGUUUGACUGGGGCGGUCUCCUCCUAAAGAGUAACGGAGGAGCACGAAGGUUGGCUAAUCCUGGUCGGACAUCAGGAGGUUAGUGCAAUGGCAUAAGCCAGCUUGACUGCGAGCGUGACGGCGCGAGCAGGUGCGAAAGCAGGUCAUAGUGAUCCGGUGGUUCUGAAUGGAAGGGCCAUCGCUCAACGGAUAAAAGGUACUCCGGGGAUAACAGGCUGAUACCGCCCAAGAGUUCAUAUCGACGGCGGUGUUUGGCACCUCGAUGUCGGCUCAUCACAUCCUGGGGCUGAAGUAGGUCCCAAGGGUAUGGCUGUUCGCCAUUUAAAGUGGUACGCGAGCUGGGUUUAGAACGUCGUGAGACAGUUCGGUCCCUAUCUGCCGUGGGCGCUGGAGAACUGAGGGGGGCUGCUCCUAGUACGAGAGGACCGGAGUGGACGCAUCACUGGUGUUCGGGUUGUCAUGCCAAUGGCACUGCCCGGUAGCUAAAUGCGGAAGAGAUAAGUGCUGAAAGCAUCUAAGCACGAAACUUGCCCCGAGAUGAGUUCUCCCUGACUCCUUGAGAGUCCUGAAGGAACGUUGAAGACGACGACGUUGAUAGGCCGGGUGUGUAAGCGCAGCGAUGCGUUGAGCUAACCGGUACUAAUGAACCGUGAGGCUUAACCUU
Molecule: ribosomal RNA, 2902 nt
Filed under: Escherichia coli HVH 186 (4-3405044)
Lineage: Bacteria; Pseudomonadati; Pseudomonadota; Gammaproteobacteria; Enterobacterales; Enterobacteriaceae
Description: bacterial LSU rRNA
Rfam family: Bacterial large subunit ribosomal RNA
Source: RNAcentral